This 494-nucleotide ribosomal RNA is filed under the name uncultured bacterium. Its description in RNAcentral is "partial 16S ribosomal RNA". It matches the Rfam family "Bacterial small subunit ribosomal RNA", at positions 28 to 507 of the family's 1533-position model. The record is from RNAcentral.
GACGAACGCUGGCGGCGCGCUUAACACAUGCAAGUCGAACGGAAAGGCCUGCUUUCCCUUGUGGAUUGUGGGUACUCGAGUGGCGAACGGGUGAGUAACACGUGAGUGAUCUGCCCCCAACUUGGGUAUAAGCCUGGGAAACUGGGUCUAAUUCCCGAUAGGACUGCAGGGUGGUGCCUGUGGUGGAAAACGAUUUUCUAGUGGUUGGGGAUGAGCUCGCGGCCUAUCAGCUUGUUGGUGGGGUAAUGGCCUACCAAGGCGGCGACGGGUAGCCGGCCUGAGAGGGUGGACGGCCACAUUGGGACUGAGAUACGGCCCAGACGCCUACGGGAGGCAGCAGUGGGGAAUAUUGCACAAUGGGCGGAAGCCUGAUGCAGCGACGCCGCGUGGGGGAUGACGGCCUUCGGGUUGUAAACUCCUUUCGACCGCGAGGAAGCCACCUGGUUGGAAGGGUGGUGACGGUAGUGGUAGAAGAAGCACCGGCUAACUACGUG